Molecule: long non-coding RNA, 758 nt
Filed under: Callithrix jacchus (white-tufted-ear marmoset)
Lineage: Eukaryota; Metazoa; Chordata; Mammalia; Primates; Cebidae
Description: lncRNA (ENSCJAG00000085929.1)
Source: RNAcentral
AAGCAGCCUCAAAAGCAAAGUCUCUUUCUGACCUUCUCCUGCUCUCUUUCUCUCUUGAAGUGAGUGGUAGAAUUCCUCUUGCCUAAGGUGGGUCAUAGAAACUAGAACCCUCUUCCCCAAAGCAAGCCAUAAAACUUAGAUCACUCUUUUCUCUUCCCUCUUAAAGAACCGCAUUUCAGUGGGGUCCUGACCCAUAUCUGGGAGGAAGAAAUUCUACAGAAACCCAGAAGAAUCUGAACAGACAGCCUUACUAGAUUCUGGUACCCAGUGUGGGGUGACUGAAAUGAGCUUGGGACAACUGAUAAAAAAUCAACAACAACAACAGCAGGAACAUUUUUUUUUCAACCAAGGUCAUCUCUCCUGGAUCUCUGCCUAUAGUGCCCAAUUAAAAAUAGAAGUGGAUCCUCUUGCCCAUUUCUGGAUGUGCACCUCCCACUUUGAAGAUCACUGUAAAAUCUGUAACAUUUGAAUGUAAUCUAUGUGGAAAAAUUACAAAAAACUGGAGUGAUAAGUAAAGUUGAGUUCUUUAAGUAAGAGGAAACAGCCUUGACGGACACUCAUUUUGUAACAAGUCUUUUAGUCAGUACUUUCAUGUUGAUUCUCUUUUUCUGCAUGGAAGAAAAAUGAUGAAUUCAUGUUCUCAGAGACCUGUAUCUGUGGUAUCCAAUAAAGUAGCUACUAUCCACAUGUGGCUACUUAAAUGAAUUUAAAUUAUAUUAAAAUUGUUGGUUUUUUUGCUUAUGCUAGCUACACGUUAC